This 8040-nucleotide long non-coding RNA is filed under the name Dicentrarchus labrax (European seabass). RNAcentral's name for it is "lncRNA (ENSDLAG00005030619.1)". The record is from RNAcentral. Lineage: Eukaryota; Metazoa; Chordata; Actinopteri; Moronidae.
AUGGCAGCAACGAAGGCUGCUGGUCUAACAACAACCACUCCUACAACGACAACAGCUGCUAAGACUACAACAAUCGCACCAACCACAACCACGGCUGAAACUACGACAGCUGCUCUGACUACAACCACUGCUGCAACAACAACAGCUGGUCCAGCAACAACGGUAGAAACGACGACAGCUGCUCCAACCACAACCACUGCUGCAACAACGACAACGGCAGAAACGACAACUACUGGUCCAACAACAACCACUGCUGCAACAACAACACCUGCUCCGACUACAACCACUUCUGCAACAAUGACAGCUACUCCAACUACAACCACUGCUGCAACAACAACACCUGCUCCGACUGCAACAACGGCAGCAACGACAACAGGUGCUUCAACCACAACCAGUGCUGCAACAACAACACCUUCUCCGACUACAACCACUGCUGCAACAACAACAGCUGGUCCAACAACAACGGUAGCAACGACGACAGCUGCUCCAAACACAGCCACUGCUGCAACAACGACAACUGCUCCAACGACAACACCUGCUCUGACUACAACCACUGCUGCAACUACGACAGCGGCUUCAUCUACAACCACUGCUGCAACAACAACAGCAGCAACAACAACUGCUGCUCCAACAACAACAACCACUGCUGCAACGACAACACCUGCUCCGACUACAACAACGGCAGGAACAAUAACAGGUGCUUCAACCACAACCACUGCUGCAACAACAACACCUUCUCCGACUACAACCACUGCUGCAACAACGACAGCUGCUCCAACUACAACACCUGCUCCAACGACAACACCUGCUCAGACUACAACAACGGCAGCAACGACAACUGCUGGUCCAACAACAACCACUGCUGCAACGACAACACCUGCUCCGACUACAACCACUGCUGCAACAACGCAAGCAGCUCCAACUACAACACCUGCUCCAACAACAACACCUGCUCCGACUACAAAAAUGGCAGCAAUGACAACAGGUACCCUGACUACAACAACGGCAGCAACGACAGCUACUGGUCCGACAACAACCACUGCUGCAACGACAACAGCUGUUCAGACUACAACAAUCGCACCAACCACAACCACUGCUGCAACUACGACAGCUGCUCUGACUACAACCACUGCUGCAACAACGACACCUGCUCCAAUGACAACACCUGCUCCAACGACAACACCUACUCCAACUACAACAACGGCACCAACGACAACUGCUGGUCCAACAACAACCACUGCUGCAACAACAACACCUGCUCCGACUACAACCACUGCUGCAACAACGACAGCUGCUCUAACUACAACCACUGCUGCAACAACCACAGCAGCAACAACAACUGCUGCUCCAAAAACAACAACCACUGCUGCAACUACAACCACUGCUGCAACAAUAACAGCAGCAAAAACAACUGCUGCUCCAACAACAACAACCACUGCUGCAACAACAACAGGUGCGCCGACUACAACGGUAGCAACGACGACAGCUGGUCCAACAACAACCACUGCUGCAACAACAACACCUGCUCCGACUACAACCACUGCUGCAACAACAACAGCAGCAACAACAACUGCUGCUCCAACAACAACAACCACUGCUGCAACGACAACACCUGCUCCGACUACAACCACUGCUGCAACAACAACAGCAGCAACAACAACUGCUGCUCCAACAACAACAACCACUGCUGCAACAACAACACCUUCUCCGACUACAACGACAGCUGCAACAACGACAGCUGCUCCAACUACAACACCUGCUCCAACGACAACACCUGCUCAGACUACAACAAUCGCACCAACCACAACCACUGCUGCAACGACAACACCUUCUCCGACUACAACCACAGCUGCAACAACGACAGCUGCUGGUCCAACAACAACAACUGCUGCAACAACGACAGCUGCUCCAACUACAACCACUGCUGCAAUAACAACAGCAGCAACAACAACUGCUGCACCAACAACAACAACCACUGCUGCAACGACAACACCUGCUCCGACUACAACAACGGCAGCAACGACAACAGGUGCUCCAACCACAACCACUGCUGCAAUGACAACAGGUGCGCAAACUACAACCACGGAAGCAACGACAGCUACUGGUCUAACAACAACCACUCCUGCAACGACAAAAGCUGCUCAGACUACAACAAUCGCACCAACCACAACCACUGCUGCAACGACAACACCUUCUCCGACUACAACAACGGCAGCAACGACAACUGCUGGUCCAACAACAACCACUGCUGCAACAACAACACCUGCUCCGACUACAACCACUGCUGCAACAACAACAGCAGCAAAAACAACAGCUGCUCCAACAACAACAACCACUGCUGCAACGACAACACCUGCUCCGACUACAACCACUGCUGCAACAACAACAGCAGCAACAACAACUGCUGCUCCAACAACAACAACCACUGCUGCAACAACAACACCUUCUCCGACUACAACCACAGCUGCAACAACGAGAGCUGCUCCAACUACAACACCUGCUCCAACGACAACACCUGCCCCGACUACAACAACGGCAGCAACGACAACUGCUGGUCCAACAAAAACCACUGCUGCAACAACAACACCUGCUCCAACUACAACCACUGCUGAAACAACAACAGCAGCAAAUACAACUGCUGCUCCAACAACAACAACCACUGCUGCAACGACAACACCUGCUCCGACUACAACAACGGCAGCAACGACAACUGCUGGUCCAACAACAACAACUGCUGCAACAACGACAGCUGCUCCAACUACAACCACUGCUGCAACAACAACAGCAGCAACAACAACUGCUGCACCAACAACAACAACCACUGCUGCAACGACAACACCUGCUCCGACUACAACAACGGCAGAAACGACAACUGCUGGUCCAACAACAACAACUGCUGCAACAACGACAGCUGCUCCAACUACAACCACUGCUGCAACAACAACAGCAGAAACAACAACUGCUGCACCAACAACAACAACCACUGCUGCAACGACAACACCUGCUCCGACUACAACAACGGCAGCAACGACAACAGGUGCUCCAACCACAACCACUGCUGCAAUGACAACAGGUGCGCCAACUACAACCACGGAAGCAACGACAGCUACUGGUCUAACAACAACCACUCCUGCAACGACAAAAUCUGCUCAGACUACAACAAUCGCACCAACCACAACCACUGCUGCAACGACAACACCUUCUCCGACUACAAUAACGGCAGCAACAACAACUGCUACUCCAAGCAAAACCACUGCUGCAACAAAUGCUAUUCUAACCACAACCACUACUGCAACAACAACACCUGCUCCGACUACAACCACUGCUGCAACAACAACACCUGCUUCUACUACAACCACUGCUGCAACAACAACACCUGCUCCGACUACAACCACUGCUGCAACAACGCAAGCUGCUCCAACUACAAAACCUGCUCCGACUACAACAACGGCAGCAACGACAACUUCUGGUCCAACAAAAACCACUGCUGCAACAACAACACCUGCUCCGACUACAACCACUGCUGCAACAACAACAGCAGCAACAACAACUGCUGCUCCAACAACAACAACCACUGCUGCAACAACAACACCUGCUCCGACUACAACCACUGCUGCAACAACGACAGCUGCUCCAACUACAACACCUGCUCCAAUGACAACAUCUGCUCCGACUACAACAACGGCAGCAACGACAACUGCUGGUCCAACAAAAACCACUGCUGCAACAACAACACCUGCUCCGACUACAACCACUGCUGCAACAACAACAGCAGCAACAACAACUGCUGCUCCAACAACAACAACCACUGCUGCAACAACAACACCUGCUUCGACUACAACAACGGCAGCAACGACAACAGGUGCUCCAAACACAAACACUGCUGCAACGACAACAGGUGCGCCGACUACAACAACGGCAGCAACGACAGCUACUGGUCCAACAACAACCACUCCUGCAACGACAACAGCUUCUCAGACUACAACAAUCGCACCAACCACAACCACUGCUGCAACUACGACAGCUGCUCUGACUACAACCACUGCUGCAACAACAACACCUGCUCCAACAACAACGGUAGCAACGACGAAAACUGCUCCAACCACAACCACUGCUGCAACAACGACACCUGCUCCAACGACAACACCUGAUCCAACGACAACACCUGCUCCCACUACAAUAACGGCAGCAACGACAACUGCUGGUCCAACAACAACCACUGCUGCAACAACAACACCUGCUCUGACUACAAACACUGCUGCAACAACGAAAGCUGCUCCAACUACAACCACUGCUGCAACAACAACAGCAGUAACAACAACUGCUGCUCCAACAAUAACAACCACUGCUGCAACGACAACACCUGCUCCGACUACAACAACGGCAGCAAUGACAACAGGUGCUCCAACCACAACCACUGCUGCAAUGACAACAGGUGCGCCGACUACAACAACGGCAGCAACGACAGCUACUGGUCUAACAACAACCACUCCUGCAACGACAACAGCUGCUCAGACUACAACAAUUGCACCAACGACAACCACUGCUGCAACAACGACAGCUGCUUCAACCACAACCACUGCUGCAACAACAACAGCUGGUCAGACAACAACGGUAGCAACGACGACAGCUGCUUCAACCACAACCACUGCUGCAACAACGACACCUGCUCUAACGACAACACCUGCUCCAACUACAACAACGGCAGCAAGGACAACUGCUGGUCCAACGACAACCACUUUUGCAACGACAACAGCUGCUCUUACCACAACAACGGUAGCAACAGCAACAGCUGCUCCGACUACAACAAUGGCAGUAAUGACAACUGCUGGUCCAACAACAACCACUGCGGCAACAACAACAGCUGCUCCGACUACAACAACGGUAGCAACAACAAGAGCUGCUCCGACUACGACAGCUGCUCUGAUUACAACCACUGCUGCAACAACAAAAGCUGGUCCAACAACAACGGUAGCAACGAUGACAGCUGCUCCAACCACAACCACUGCUGCAACAACGACACCUGCUCUAACGACAACACCUGCUCCAACUACAACAACGGCAGCAAGGACAACUGCUGGUCCAACAACAACCACUCUUGCAACGACAACAGCUGCUCCAACCACAACAAAGGUAGCAACAACAACAGCUGCUCCGACUACAACAACGGCAGUAAUGACAACUGCUGGUCCAAAAACAACCACUCUUGCAACGACAACAGCUGCUCCAUCCACAACCACUGCUGCAACGAAUGCUGCUCCAACCACAACCGCUACUGCAACAACUACAGCUUCUCCAAGUACAACAACGGCAGUAUCGGCUACUGCUGCUACAACCACAACCACUGCUGCGACAAAUGCUGCUGUAGCCACAACCGCUACUGCAAAAACUACAGCUUCUUCAACUACAACCACUGCUGCAACAACGACAGCUGCUCCAACUACAACCACUGCUGCAACAACAACAGCUGGUCAAACAACAACCGUAGCAACGACAACAGCUGCUCUAACCAGAACCACUGCUGCAACGACAACACCUUCUCCGACUAAAACAAUGGCACCAACCACUACCAUUGCUGCAACUACAACACCUGCUCUGACUACAUCCACUGCUGCAACAACAACAGGUGCUCAAUCUACAACCAAUGCUGCAACAACAGCUGAUCCGAUUACAACAAAGGCAGCAACGACAACAGCUGCUCCAACAACAACCACUCUUGGAACGACAACAGCUGCUCCGACUAAAACAACGGCAGCAACGACAACAGGUGCUCCAACAACAACCACUCCUGCAACGACAACAGCUGCUCCGACCACAACAACGGUAGCAACAACAACAGCUGCUCAGACUACAACAAUGGCACCAACCACUACCACUGCUGCAACAACGACAGCUGGUCAAACAGCAACGGUAGCAACAACAACAGCUGCUCCAACCACAACCACUGCUGCAACGACAACACCUCCUCCGACUACAACAAUGUCACCAACCACUACCAUUGCUGCAACUACAACAUCUGCUCUGACCACAUCCACUGCUGCAACAACGACAGCUGCUCCAUCUACAACCACUGCUGCAACAACAGCAGCAACGACCACUGCUGGUCCAACAACAACCACUCCUGCAACGACAACAGCUAAUCAAACCAGAACCACUGCUGCAACGACAAGAGGUGCUCCAACCACAACCACUCCUGCAACGACAACAGCUGCUCAAGCCACAACAACUGCUGCAACGACAACUGCUGUUCCAACAACAACGGUUGCAACGACAACAGGUGCUCCAACCACAACCACUGCUACAACGACAACAGCUGCUCUGACUACAACAACAGCAGCAACGACAACUGCUGGUCCAACAAUAACGGUAGCAACGACAACAGGUUCUCCAACCACAACCACUGCUACAACGACAACGGCUGCUCCGACUACAACAACGGCAGCAACGACAACUGCUGGUCCAACAACAACCACUCCUGCAACGACAACAGCUGCUCCAACCACAACCACUCUUGGAACCACAACAGCUGCUCUGACUAAAACAACGGCAGCAAUGACAACAGGUGCUCCAACCACAACCACUGCUACAACGACAACAGCUGCUCUGACUACAAUAACGGCAGCAACGACAACUGCUGGUCCAACAACAACCACUCCUGCAACGACAACAGCUGCUCCGACCACAACAACGGUAGCAACGACAACAGCUGCUCAGACUACAACAAUGGCACCAACCACUACCACUGCUGCACCAACUACAGCUGCUCCAACCACAACCACUGCUGCAAUGACAACACGUGCUGAGAAUACAACAACGGCAACAACCACUACCACUGCUGCAACAACGACAACUGCUCCAAGCACAACCACUUCUGCAACGAAUGCUGCUGUAACCACAAGUGCUACUGCAACAACGACAGCUGCUCCUACAACAACAACGGCAGCAACAUCAACAGAUGCUCCAACCACAACCACUGCUGCUAAGACAACACCUGCUCCAACUACAACAACGGCAGCCACAACAACUGCUGCUACAACCACAACCACUGCUGCAACAACGACAGCUGCUCCAACGACAACCACUGCUGAAAAGACAACACCUGCUCCGACUACAACAACGGCAGCAACGACAACUGCUGGUCCAAAAACAACCACUCCUGCAACGACAACAGCUGCUCCAACCACAACCACUGCUGCAACGACAACACCUGCUCCGACUACAACAAUGGCACCAACCACUACAACUGCUGCAACUACAACACCUGCUCUGAGGACAUCCACUGCUGCAACAACAGCUGCUCAGAUUACAACAAAGGCAGCAACGACAACAGCUGCUCCAUCUACAACCACUGCUGCAACAACAGCUGCUCAGAUUACAACAACGGCAGCAACGACAACACCUUCUCCGACUACAACAACGGUAGCAACGACAACUGCUGGUCCAACAACAACCGCUGCUGAAACGACAACACCUUCUCCGACUACAACAACGGCAGCAACGACAUCUGCUGGGUCAACAACAACCACUCUUGGAACCACAACAGCUGCUCUGACUAAAACAACGGCAGCAAUGACAACAGGUGCUCCAACCACAACCACUGCUACAACGACAACAGCUGCUCCGACUACAAUAACGGCAGCAACGACAACUGCUGGUCCAACAACAACCACUCCUGCAACGACAACAGCUGCUCCGACCACAACAACGGUAGCAACGACAACAGCUGCUCCAUCUACAACCACUGCUGCAACAACAGCUGCUCAGAUUACAACAACGGCAGCAACGACAACACCUUCUCCCACUACAACAACGGUAGCAACGACAACUGCUGGUCCAACAACAACCGCUGCUGAAACGACAACACCUUCUCCGACUACAACAACGGCAGCAACGACAUCUGCUGGGUCAACCACAACCACUCUUGGAACCACAACAGCUGCUCUGACUAAAACAACGGCAGCAAUGACAACAGGUGCUCCAACCACAACCACUGCUACAACGACAACACCUGCUCUCCUGCCCUUUACAACACAACGGUAG